This 254-nucleotide ribosomal RNA is filed under the name uncultured bacterium. RNAcentral's name for it is "partial 16S ribosomal RNA". It matches the Rfam family "Bacterial small subunit ribosomal RNA", at positions 524 to 776 of the family's 1533-position model. The record is from RNAcentral.
UACGUAGGGCGCAAGCGUUGUCCGGAAUUAUUGGGCGUAAAGAGCUCGUAGGCGGCUUGGCAAGUCGGAUGUGAAAACUCCAGGCUCAACCUGGAGCCGCCAUUCGAUACUGCUAUGGCUAGAGUCCGGUAGGGGAGUGUGGAAUUCCCGGUGUAGCGGUGAAAUGCGCAGAUAUCGGGAGGAACACCGAUGGCGAAGGCAGCACUCUGGGCCGGUACUGACGCUGAGGAGCGAAAGCGUGGGGAGCGAACAGG